CCCACUGUGGGGAUUCCCCAGUCAUGUUAGGUGAUCUUACAGCUUCCCUACCCCUACAGUCAGUAACUUUGAUAUCAGUCUAUUCUUUGCCACAAUUUUAAAGCAGCUAAAUACAAAUUUUGACUGACUCUGUAAAGUAAUCUUUUGGAUAUUUGCAGAUCAUUAUGUAUCCCAAGCAUCUUCCAAAUACACUAAUGUCAUAAACACUUUCUUGGUCAGAGGUCUAUAAUCCAUGACCUUUCAUGCUUGUUCUUUUCAGACUCUGUAUUUUUCUUGAAAUGUCAUGCCAACAGCUCACAUGAACGUUUUUAUCCCAGCAUGCACAUUUUUGAUUGCAGAAAGGAUCCUACUUUUUAAGCAAUAUCUGCAUCUUUUCCUUUGAGCUGAACAGAUAUCUCACUAUAUCCAAAACUGUGUGUUUAAACAUAUUUUACCCUUCAUGCCUAUAUAACAACAAUAUUUUGACAAUGUAAUUCGUCAGUAGCAUCCUCCUGUUAAGUGCUAUCAUCUAUAAUCUGAAGAAGUGAUACAAAUCUUAAGUACUCAUAACCCUCUUGACUUGUUCAUCGAAGAUGAUCUUACGUAGCCUUCACACCUGCCAUUUCUCUGGCAUUUUCCUCCACAGUAUCCAUUUGAUGCUCAUUAGGUUUUCAAGUUAUUUUCCCAGCUUUUUGACUAUGUGUGCAAUCGUGUAUUCUAAAUAGGGUUGUUUAUGCCCCAUGUGUUUCAGUGAGUAUUUUGGUAACAGUACACAAGCAGGCGAUAUAUUUGUCCUACACAUCUUUGUCCCAGCGUUCUGCAGUUCCUUCCCACUCGUGCUUGAAAAUUGGAGUACACUGUUUUUUUUUUUCCUUCAUCUCAUCAUUGUUGUUGUAUUUUUUUUACCCCCUAGCAUUUUUAGAACAUAACAUAUUUUCAUGUAAGUAGUGUUAAUUAUGUAACAGCAAUUUAUCUCAGAUAAGAUCUUUUAUUUUUGUUGCAAUUUGGCAAUUAGAAUGCAGAAAAUUUCAGGCUUUGAACCCUGCCUUUUAUGUCAAGUUGUCUGCCCACAGCUGAUGAGUAUAAGUAUCUUAUUUGCCUCAGAAAAGGAAGUGAAAAAAGUACCAUCUGCAAAUUUAUUGGAAAUUUAAAUAUCUUGGAUGUAUGGCCGAAGGAAUAGAUCAUCAAGCAGUCAAAGUAUUGCUCUGUAAUAGUGACCAAAGGGUACUUUGAUUCAACACCCUAAGAACUGUUAUGAAAGGGCAUCAAGAAUAAAAGCAAAUCUCCCUUGAAAUAUAUCAGGAUAAGACAACUGGCCAGUAUCUGAUGGGCAGAGAAUGGUAUGGCAAGGAACUUAAACGAGCCUUUUUUGCUCAUGCAGCACAAUUUACUGGGAUUCUUUGAAGGGGUCAGCAAGCAUGUGGAUAAGGGAAAGCCAAUUCAUACAGGCUACCUGGAUGUCUAAAAACUAUUUCUAAUAGUUUUUGUGGGAAUGAUUGGAGAAGAGGAAAAGCUGUUGCAUGAAUUAAGAUAGAUUAAAAUGUGUAAAGCAGAAGCAUAAAUGGCAAGUCUCACAGUGGACUACAACAGGGAACUUUUUUGAGCUCUGAUCCAACACUGAACUUAAAACCAUCCUUAUGUUCUAAUAUAGUCAAUGCACCAAGCUUUUGAUCCAGGACUUUUGAGUGGCUGGUAAAUCUGACUUCAUGUCUCCCAAAAACAUCACUUUCACACCAACCUGUUCUUUAGAAGGACUUCACCUAAAACUUUUUUUGUUAGGCACCUGAAAUUCGUGGGAUUAAGCGCUCUACUACUUUGUUAGGAAGACUGAGUUUCUAACUUCAGCAUCAGUUACGAAAGACACUUUAAUGCUGGGCACACAGAUUUGAUCCAGUAUUCCUGGAUAGCUGCUUUCCUACAAAGAUGGAUGCUGAUAUUGUAUCACCUUUAGGUGACAACUAUGAUGUCAUAUCAUCUUUGGGAAAUCUUACUGUGGUUGCACAGAACAAGCAUGUUAGUCUUCCCAGUACUGUUGGUGUUUCCAUGUGUUCUGCCUUAUUCUUUUAAUCUUAUGGAAAGCAUUUCUUUAGAUGUUCAUCUAUCUCUCACCAUCCCCCAAGGUACUUCAAUGACACAAAAUUAUCACAAUUGCAGAUCCUAAUUUAGGUAUUUUUUUCCAUGUUGGAAAAACACUUUAAGUCCCAUGUUCUCUCUGAAUUGCCAUGGCACUGCUGAGCUGUGGAGGACAGUCCUCACUCCACUCUAUCGCUGUCAGAUUUGACUGUCCUCAUCAAGCUGAUCAGCUGACAAAUAGACUGUAUUGCCUUGAACGUCAGAGUAGAUUUUUCUAACUAGGUCUAGCUACUGAGCAUAUGUAGGAGCCAGAAUAGCAGUUGCCUGCCUUUAUUUCAUCCUCCUCCUCUGACAAAGCUAAACUAGCUGAUGUUCCCUACCCAAAAUGAUCUUUAAGGCCUUUCAGCAUUCUCUAAUUAAACAGCUUCUAACUCUCUGAAAGAGAAACUGUAGCCCCUUCAAGCCUGCUGGGUGGGGAUGAUGGAAAGUAAUUCCCAUGGGAAUACACCUUUGCACAUAGGUGUCUCAAAGGAUACCAUGUAUUACCAAGAUACGUGUCCUGUAGACGUCUUAAGAUACGUACCUUUCUAACUUCAGGCAUUCAUAGAUCACUGAUGCUUGAGGCUGUACAUCUAAAAAGGAGUGUAAACUUCAUCAGCGUUGACUAAAGAAGAAUCUGCUUUCUUUUUUAAUGUGCUGGCAUUGCUGGCUUUCUGCUGAUCUGCAUCAAGGCUCUCUGGUGUACAGAAAGCCCUAAUAACACGAGCUCCUGAUAGCCCUCACUCUUACACCCUGGCAGAGGCAGAUCCUGCUCAACAUGGCAAGACAUGACUGUAGAGACCUGAUGUGGAUGACCCAGCUAGACUGUUCCAAUUCUCUUUUUCCUCUCUCUUGAAGGACUGCUGUUCUUCAGUGAAAGGGUCUACUGGACCAUCUGUAAUCCCCAGGGAGGAGGAUUUUAAGGACUAUUGGAGAGGUCACUGAGACUUGAAGACUUUUAUAAUUUUUCUUCCUGAGCCAAAGAGUUUUCCCCCAAACACCUCAAUGUUAUUCAGCAUAAGGUUAUUCUGACUCAGGCAGCCAAAAUCCUGAAUCCCAGGUCUGUGACCAGCCACCAAGUCUGUACCCAAGUGACAAGAGCAGUGCCAGCAGCAGUAACAAAGGCCAACUUCCAAUAGACUUGCCCAGAGGAAAAGGAAGAGUUCUUGAAGACAGACAUGGUAUUUGCCUGACUCACAGUUCAAGGUGAAGUCUCACUUAAUGACACAGGUCUGCAUGUUUAUUUUGUCCUAAAUCUUUUCAAUCUGUGGGCAAAUGCUGACUUUUCUAAAGUGUGAUUCUUAAGCCUUGCUCGAUCAUUAUGAUUACAAGGUAAGGUCAUAAGCAAAGACAUUUAAGCUCUUAUGGAGUGCCUGGGUUCAAAAGGAUCUAUCUCAGUUUCUCUACUUGAUUUCCUCUACUUCAAAUGAAGAUCAAUAUUCAUCAUAAAUCACCCAAAGCCAACUCUUAUCCGUGAAUAAAAACUUUUAUAAAUAAGAAUGUAUAUAUUUGUUAUUAUGGAAAUUACUAUUUAGAAAAAAAGAG
Pezoporus occidentalis (night parrot) is the source of this 3636-nucleotide long non-coding RNA. RefSeq lists it as uncharacterized. The transcript has 4 exons. The record is from RefSeq and is a predicted model, not a curated record. Lineage: Eukaryota; Metazoa; Chordata; Aves; Psittaciformes; Psittacidae.